This 681-nucleotide ribosomal RNA is filed under the name uncultured bacterium. RNAcentral's name for it is "bacterial SSU rRNA". It matches the Rfam family "Bacterial small subunit ribosomal RNA", at positions 1 to 663 of the family's 1533-position model. The record is from RNAcentral.
GGCUUAGAGUUUGAUCAUGGCUCAGGACGAACGCUGGCGGCGUGCUUAACACAUGCAAGUCGAACGGGGUGUUUAUUUCGGUAAACACCAAGUGGCGAACGGGUGAGUAACGCGUAAGCAAUCUACCUUCAAGAUGGGGACAACACUUCGAAAGGGGUGCUAAUACCGAAUGAAUGAGAGAUGACCGCAUGGAUAUUUCUCAAAGGAGGCCUCUGAAAAUGCUUCCGCUUGAAGAUGAGCUUGCGUCUGAUUAGCUAGUUGGUGAGGGUAAAGGCCCACCAAGGCGACGAUCAGUAGCCGGUCUGAGAGGAUGAACGGCCACAUUGGGACUGAGACACGGCCCAGACUCCUACGGGAGGCAGCAGUGGGGAAUCUUCCGCAAUGGGCGAAAGCCUGACGGAGCAACGCCGCGUGAACGAAGAAGGUCUUAGGAUCGUAAAGUUCUGUUGUUAGGGGCGAAGGGCAACAUUUUGAAUAAGGGUGUUGUUUGACGGUACUUAACGAGGAAGCCACGGCUAACUACGUGCCAGCAGCCGCGGUAAUACGUAGGCGGCAAGCGUUGUCCGGAAUUAUUGGGCGUAAAGGGAGCGCAGGCGGGAAGUUAAGCGGACUUUAAAAGUGCGGGGCUCAACCCCGUGAGGGGGUCCGAACUGAUUUUCUUGAGUGCAGGAGAGGGAAGCG